CUGAAUUACACUGUGUUUGUUAUAAUUAACUUGAUGUUAAAGUCAUUGAAGCACAAUUGAAGAGAUGCUAAGGUUUAGUAUAUACUAGAGAAGAAAGGUCAAAAGAAGGAUUCUAUUGUAAUAACAUCUGUAAUGUUUAAAAUACUUUGUCAUUCCUUCACCUGAUGGAAAUGAAUGAUAGACAUAUGUUUUCCUUCAUUUUUUAAACAGCCUUUGUCAUCCUCUUCAAUCAAGUAUUAAAGAAACAGUGGAGGCAUAUGAGGCAGCAUUAGGGGUGGCUAUGAGAUGUGAUAUAGUACAGAAGAUAUGGAUGGAUUAUCUUGUCUUUGCAAAUAAUAGAGCUGCUGGAUCCAGAAACAAAGUUCAAGAAUUCAAAUUUUUUACUGAUUUAGUGAAUAGAUGUUUGGUUACAGUCCCUGCCCGAUACCCCAUUCCUUUUAGCAGUGCUGAUUACUGGUCCAACUAUGAAUUUCAUAAUAGGGUUAUUUUCUUUUAUUUGAGCUGUGUUCCAAAGACCCAGCAUUCCAAAACCUUGGAACGGUUUUGUUCA
RNAcentral lists this long non-coding RNA (550 nucleotides) under Homo sapiens (human). Its description in RNAcentral is "non-protein coding lnc-TSPAN8-3:2". Lineage: Eukaryota; Metazoa; Chordata; Mammalia; Primates; Hominidae. The record is from RNAcentral.